This 237-nucleotide ribosomal RNA is filed under the name uncultured Acanthamoeba. RNAcentral describes it as "partial 18S ribosomal RNA". It matches the Rfam family "Eukaryotic small subunit ribosomal RNA", at positions 97 to 279 of the family's 1831-position model. The record is from RNAcentral. Lineage: Eukaryota; Discosea; Longamoebia; Acanthamoebidae.
CUCAUUAAAUCAGUUAUAGUUUAUUUGAUGGUCUCUUUGUUCUUCUUUUUACCUACUUGGAUAACCGUGGUAAUUCUAGAGCUAAUACAUGCGCAAGGUCCCGAGCGCGGGGGGUGGGGCGUUCACGGCUCCGUCCUCGCAUGCGCAGAGGGAUGUAUUUAUUAGGUUAAAAACCAGCAGCCAGCAAUGGCUACAUCUUCUGGUGAUUCAUAGUAACUCUUUCGGAUCGCAUUCAUG